CAUUAUCCCAGCUUGUUACAAGCCCCAUCCUGGUCUUGAACACUUCCAGGGAUCCAGGGGCAGCCACAGCUUCUCUGGGAAAUUGAAAUCCCAAAUUCAUUGGUGUCUCCGAAAUUGAAAUCCCAGAUUCAUUGGUGUCUCCGAAAUUGAAAUCCCAGAUUCAUCGGUGUCUCCCUUUGCCCCCAGCUCUUUGGACGCCGGUGUUGUAUCGCUGAGUGGAGGGCUGCUGCCGGGAGAGCUGUCCUGCCGGGAUGCUGCCGGGAUGCUGCCAAAUGCGCAGGGAAGCGGCUCCCACUAGAGCGCGCUAGGACAGUUAAAACGGAGCUGGUUUUGUGCUGGCAUCAGGCUGGAACCAUCAAAGAUGCCUCUGUAAGGAACGGCACUUUGGUUUUUCAGCAGGGAUUCUGGCUAAGUUCCCCAUGUUUGGAGUACAGCUUCCCUGGAUGAGUGUGGAGCAAAGCCAGCUGAAGCUGCCUUAGAGCACUGAGGUCUGGGCUGGGACCCGUGCUGGCAAAACCUGUUGGAAGACCCUGGCCUCACAGAGGGCAGAGAGAAGCUUUGUCCUCCAUCCCUGUCUCAUCUCACAGCCCCUGUGUUUGCUGCUCUCUGAGGCAGAGGAAGUUUGACAUUUGCCUGCCAAAACCUCCCUUUGCUGACCCACUGUUCUGCAUUUUCCUGGGUUAUCAGCAUCAUCCCAUCUGGAAAGACGGUGGCUCUUUUCUUCACAGACUCUACCCUUGCACAACAGAAAUAAACCAUGAAGGUUGAAAACUAGGAGAGAAACAUUUAGAAUGUAUGGAGUGUUUUUAUAAACCCAUCAAUUUUCAAAC
This 830-nucleotide long non-coding RNA is filed under the name Catharus ustulatus (Swainson's thrush). RNAcentral's name for it is "lncRNA (ENSCUSG00005007662.1)". The record is from RNAcentral. Lineage: Eukaryota; Metazoa; Chordata; Aves; Passeriformes; Turdidae.